UUAGAGUUUGAUCCUGGCUCAGGACGAACGCUGGCGGCGUGCUUAACACAUGCAAGUCGAACGAUGAUCCGGUGCUUGCACCGGGGAUUAGUGGCGAACGGGUGAGUAACACGUGAGUAACCUGCCCUUGACUCUGGGAUAAGCCUGGGAAACCGGGUCUAAUACCGGAUACGACCUUUCACCGCAUGGUGGUUGGUGGAAAGAUUUUUUGGUUUUGGAUGGACUCGCGGCCUAUCAGCUUGUUGGUGAGGUAAUGGCUCACCAAGGCGACGACGGGUAGCCGGCCUGAGAGGGUGACCGGCCACACUGGGACUGAGACACGGCCCAGACUCCUACGGGAGGCAGCAGUGGGGAAUAUUCCACAAUGGGCGAAAGCCUGAUGGAGCAACGCCGCGUGCAGGAUGAAGGCCCUAGGGUCGUAAACUGCUUUUAUCUGUGAAGAUUAUGACGGUAGCAGAUGAAUAAGGAUCGGCUAACUCCGUGCCAGCAGCCGCGGUCAUACGGAGGAUCCGAGCGUUAUCCGGAAUGACUGGGCGUAAAGAGUUGCGUAGGUGGCAUGUUAAGCGAAAUGUGAAAUCGGGUGGCUCAACCAUCCGGCUAUAUUUCGAACUGGCAAGCUAGAGCACAUGAGGGGUACCUGGAAUUCCCGGUGUAGGAGUGAAAUCCGUAGAUAUCGGGAGGAACACCAAUGGCGUAGGCAGGGUACUGGCAUGUGGCUGACACUAAGGCACGAAAGCGUGGGGAGCGAACGGGAUUAGAUACCCCGGUAGUCCACGCCGUAAACUAUGGAUGCUAGCUGUGGGGGGUAUCGACCCCCCUCCCGUAGCGAAGCUAACGCGUUAAGCAUCCCGCCUGAGUAGUACGAGCGCAAGCUUAAAACUCAAAGGAAUUGACGGGGACCCGCACAAGCGGUGGAGCGUGUUGUUUAAUUCGAUGAUAAGCGAAGAACCUUACCAGGGUUUGACAUCCCGAGAAGGCUUCCGAAAGGAAACUGUGCCGUAAGGAACUCGGUGACAGGUGUUGCAUGGCCGUCGUCAGCUCGUGUCGUGAGAUGUUGGGUUAAGUCCCGCAACGAGCGCAACCCUUAUGUUUAGUUGGAUUUUUCUAAACAGACUGCCUCGGCAACGGGGAGGAAGGGGGGGAUGAUGUCAGGUCAGUAUUACCCUUACAUCCUGGGCUACAAACACGCUACAAUGGCCGGUACAAAGGGCGGCGAAGCCGCGAGGUGGAGCAAACCCCAUCAAAGCCGGUCCCAGUUCGGAUUGCAGGCUGAAACUCGCCUGCAUGAAGUCGGAAUCGCUAGUAACCGUAGGUCAGCACACUACGGUGAAUACGUUCCCGGGUCUUGUACACACCGCCCGUCAAGCCACGAAAGUCGCCAACACCCGAAGUACGCUUCGCGCGUCCUAAGGUGGGGGAGAUGAUUGGGGUUAAGUCGUAACAAGGUAACC
This 1451-nucleotide ribosomal RNA is filed under the name uncultured bacterium. RNAcentral's name for it is "16S ribosomal RNA". It matches the Rfam family "Bacterial small subunit ribosomal RNA". The record is from RNAcentral.